AAUAAGUCUCUGGUGAAAUCCUGCAGCUUAACUGUGGGAAUGCUGGAGAUACUAUAGACUGAGACCGGGAGAGGUUAGAGGUACUCCCAGGGUAGAGGUGAAAUUCUGUAAUCCUGGGAGGACCGCCUGUUGCGAAGGCGUCUAACUGGAACGGUUCUGACGGUGAGGGACGAAGUUAGGGGCGCGAACCGGAUUAGAUACCCGGGUAGUCCUAACUGUAAACGAUGCGGACUUGGUGUUGGGGUGGCUUUGAGCUGCUUCAGUGCCGAAGGGAAGCUGUUAAGUCCGCCGCCUGGGAAGUACGGUCGCAAGACUGAAACUUAAGGAAUUGGCGGGGGAGCACCACAACGCGUGGAGCCUGCGGUUUUAAAUUGGAUUCAACGCCGGACAUCUCACCAGAGGCGACAGCUGUAUGAUAGCCAGGUUGAUGACUUUGCUUGACUAGCUGAGAGGAGUGGUGCAUGG
Molecule: ribosomal RNA, 465 nt
Filed under: uncultured archaeon
Lineage: Archaea
Description: bacterial SSU rRNA
Rfam family: Archaeal small subunit ribosomal RNA
Source: RNAcentral